CGGAGGCGCUCAAAGGUUCUCUCUGUACGGUCGGAAAUCGUAUGUAGAGUGUAAAGGCAAAAGAGAGCUUGAUUGCAAGACAUACAGGUCGAGUAUGGAUGAAUAGCUGACUUAGUGAUCCGGUGGUGCUGCGUGGAAGGGCCAUCGCUCAACGGAUAAAAGCGACCCUGGGGAUAACAGUCUUAUCUCCCCAAAGAGUCCACUUCGACGGGGAGGUUUGGCACCUCGAUG
Molecule: ribosomal RNA, 231 nt
Filed under: Clostridioides difficile
Lineage: Bacteria; Bacillati; Bacillota; Clostridia; Peptostreptococcales; Peptostreptococcaceae
Description: partial 23S ribosomal RNA
Rfam family: Bacterial large subunit ribosomal RNA
Source: RNAcentral